CCUAGGUUCCGUGUCCAACGUUUGACCGUCCGUCUUAUUUAAAAAAAUUAUGAAAAAAAUUGAAAAAACAAGUCACGCAUAAAGUAUUAAUCAUGUUUUAUCAUCUAACAACAAUUAAAAUACUAAUUAUAAAAAAAAUUCAUAUAAGACGGAUAGUCAAAUGUUGGAAAAAAAACACAGGAUUUAUCUUUUU
MicroRNA precursor from Oryza sativa Japonica Group (Japanese rice), 193 nucleotides. It matches the Rfam family "MIR812 microRNA precursor family". The record is from Rfam. Lineage: Eukaryota; Viridiplantae; Streptophyta; Magnoliopsida; Poales; Poaceae.